This 86-nucleotide transfer RNA is filed under the name Gracilibacteraceae bacterium. Its description in RNAcentral is "tRNA-Leu". It matches the Rfam family "tRNA". Rfam says of the family: Transfer RNA (tRNA) molecules are approximately 80 nucleotides in length. Their secondary structure includes four short double-helical elements and three loops (D, anti-codon, and T loops). Further hydrogen bonds mediate the characteristic L-shaped molecular structure. tRNAs have two regions of fundamental functional importance: the anti-codon, which is responsible for specific mRNA codon recognition, and the 3' end, to which the tRNAs corresponding amino acid is attached (by aminoacyl-tRNA synthetases). tRNAs cope with the degeneracy of the genetic code in two manners: having more than one tRNA (with a specific anti-codon) for a particular amino acid; and 'wobble' base-pairing, i.e. permitting non-standard base-pairing at the 3rd anti-codon position. The record is from RNAcentral. Lineage: Bacteria; Bacillati; Bacillota; Clostridia; Eubacteriales; Gracilibacteraceae.
GCCGAAGUGGCGGAAUUGGCAGACGCGCCGGUCUCAAAAACCGGUGAGUUUUACUCGUGCCGGUUCGAUCCCGGCCUUCGGCACCA